Molecule: ribosomal RNA, 253 nt
Filed under: uncultured bacterium
Lineage: Bacteria
Description: partial 16S ribosomal RNA
Rfam family: Bacterial small subunit ribosomal RNA
Source: RNAcentral
UACGUAGGGGGCAAGCGUUGUUCGGAAUUACUGGGCGUAAAGGGCGCGUAGGCGGCAUGGCAAGUCAGGAGUGAAAGGCCUGGGCUCAACCGAGGAACUGCUUUUGAUACUGCCAAGCUAGAGUGCGGAAGGGGCAACUGGAAUUCCCAGUGUAGCGGUGAAAUGCGUAGAUAUUGGGAAGAACACCUGAGGCGAAGGCGGGUUGCUGGGCCGACACUGACGCUGAGGCGCGAAAGCGUGGGGAGCGAACAGG